RNAcentral lists this ribosomal RNA (657 nucleotides) under Bacillus velezensis. RNAcentral describes it as "bacterial SSU rRNA". It matches the Rfam family "Bacterial small subunit ribosomal RNA", at positions 38 to 679 of the family's 1533-position model. The record is from RNAcentral. Lineage: Bacteria; Bacillati; Bacillota; Bacilli; Caryophanales; Bacillaceae.
AGGGCGGGUGCUAUACAUGCAGUCGAGCGGACAGAUGGGAGCUUGCUCCCUGAUGUUAGCGGCGGACGGGUGAGUAACACGUGGGUAACCUGCCUGUAAGACUGGGAUAACUCCGGGAAACCGGGGCUAAUACCGGAUGGUUGUUUGAACCGCAUGGUUCAAACAUAAAAGGUGGCUUCGGCUACCACUUACAGAUGGACCCGCGGCGCAUUAGCUAGUUGGUGAGGUAACGGCUCACCAAGGCAACGAUGCGUAGCCGACCUGAGAGGGUGAUCGGCCACACUGGGACUGAGACACGGCCCAGACUCCUACGGGAGGCAGCAGUAGGGAAUCUUCCGCAAUGGACGAAAGUCUGACGGAGCAACGCCGCGUGAGUGAUGAAGGUUUUCGGAUCGUAAAGCUCUGUUGUUAGGGAAGAACAAGUACCGUUCGAAUAGGGCGGUACCUUGACGGUACCUAACCAGAAAGCCACGGCUAACUACGUGCCAGCAGCCGCGGUAAUACGUAGGUGGCAAGCGUUGUCCGGAAUUAUUGGGCGUAAAGGGCUCGCAGGCGGUUUCUUAAGUCUGAUGUGAAAGCCCCCGGCUCAACCGGGGAGGGUCAUUGGAAACUGGGGAACUUGAGUGCAGAAGAGGAGAGUGGAAUUCCACGUGUAGC